GAUGAACGCUGGCGGCGUGCCUAAUACAUGCAAGUCGAACGAAGCCUUCGGGCUUAGUGGCGGACGGGUGAGUAACACGUUGGUACCUGCCUCGAAGUGGGGAAUAACUGGCCGAAAGGUCGGCUAAUACCGCAUGUGAUCGCAAUAUCAAAGUCGUAAGACGCUUCGAGAGUGGCCUGCGUCCCAUUAGCUAGUUGGUAGUGUAAUGGCCUACCAAUGCGACGAUGGGUAGCUGGAUCGAGAGGUUGACCAGCCACACUGGGACUGAGAUACGGCCCAGACUCCUACGGGAGGCAGCAGUAAGGAAUCUUCCACAAUGGACGAAAGUCUGAUGGAGCAACGCCGCGUGCAGGAUGACGGCCUUCGGGUUGUAAACUGCUUUUAUAUGGGAAGAUUAUGACGGUACCAUAUGAAUAAGGACCGGCUAACUACGUGCCAGCCGCCGCAGUAA
This 451-nucleotide ribosomal RNA is filed under the name uncultured bacterium. RNAcentral describes it as "partial 16S ribosomal RNA". It matches the Rfam family "Bacterial small subunit ribosomal RNA", at positions 28 to 523 of the family's 1533-position model. The record is from RNAcentral.